UCCCCUUCUCCCUUAAUUAAUCAGAACAAAAGAAUCCUUCCUUGCCUAUUUUACCCAGUAAAUUAGACAUCAUCAUUCUUAUCUUCUCAAGCAAUUGAAUACCUCCUUAAGAUUAUGGACCCCCGAAUCAAUUAGUUCAUUGUAAAUCGUUUUAUGGUUAUUCUAUCUUUAUGAUUUUCCAUGCUACUUGAUCAUUUGAUGGGAGUAUCUCUAAUUUUUAGCAUGUUUAACUUAUUUCAUGCUUGGACUAUUUACCAUACAUCUGCAUCAU
Molecule: long non-coding RNA, 271 nt
Filed under: Elaeis guineensis (African oil palm)
Lineage: Eukaryota; Viridiplantae; Streptophyta; Magnoliopsida; Arecales; Arecaceae
Description: long non-coding RNA (EGUI_LNC014275)
Source: RNAcentral